Molecule: long non-coding RNA, 1721 nt
Filed under: Monodelphis domestica (gray short-tailed opossum)
Lineage: Eukaryota; Metazoa; Chordata; Mammalia; Didelphimorphia; Didelphidae
Description: lncRNA (ENSMODG00000038537.1)
Source: RNAcentral
AUCUUGGUAUAGCACCAAAAAAUUGUGCACACCCACACUACACGGGCAUGUGCUAGUCAAUGACAAAUCAGAAAUAACUAACUGCCCACCUGGGCUGUCCUAAGCUAAGCUAGAGCCAACCAUUGGCACUUGUGAGACACAGGAAGUGAGGUAAGGAACAGCCUCUGGAUUUCGCUGACUUCCUGUGGAGAGAGCUAGAGGGGAGUUGGUGUUAGGAGCUUGGAGGGAGAGGACGCCCGCAGACAGCUUUCCUUCAGAUCACUCACGUGAGUUAAGGACUGAUUCUUUCCACCUUGGCCCUUUGGGCCUAGAACUCACUCUGCCUUGGUCAGAGGUUGAAUAGCCCCUUUCCUUUUUCUCUUCUCUCCUCUCCCUCUCCUUUCCCUACUCCCAGUGUGAUUAAACCUCCAUAAACUCCAUUCUGCCUUGAGUGUUUCAUUUUAGGAAUUUCAUAAGUAAAUUCCUUGGCGACCAUUGUUCAAUAUUAUAUUAUAUUAUAACCUCUCCUAGAAGCUAAAAUUUUCCCCAUUACAAUUGGCGUAACCACUUCGGGGAAAAAGAACUAUAUCAGUCUUCUGAUCUCCUUACUAAUCACCUGGGAGAGGUCCCACCCCGGCUACCCCCUCCGGCUCUUGGCCCUGCUUUAGUGCUUCGAAGGUUUCUAGAACCUCAAUAAAUUUCCUGAAUUUUCUUGCCCUUUCACCCCACUUAUUACUCACUCCGUCAGUCCUUUUACCAAAUACCUUGGCUUAAAGACACAGCUGCCAGAACAGGAAUUACAGCACAAACUGCGUGAGCUACAUGAAUCCAGAGCUGCAGUACAAGCCGGACCACUAGACUUCUCACUUCACAACCUGAACCCAGGAGACAACGUGUAUAUAAAGAACUUCCAGCGUACAGGAGCAACCCAGCCUUCCUGGGAAGGACCAUUCCAAAUAUUGUUAACUACUCCAACAUCUAUAAAGGUUGGAGAAAAGGACUCUUGGAUUCACUGUUCUCAUGUAAAGAGAGCAUCUUCUGUUGAGACUGAUUGACUGUAUCCUAUAUAUGCAUUGGAGAUAACUACCCAUUGACAAGUGGAAAUGUUUUAUUCUGCUUUUGACACAUUGAAUUCCUAAAUUUAAUUUUUUUUCCUUUUUUCUCUUUUCCUUAUUUUAUUAUUAUUAUUUUUUUACAUUAUUUUUAUUUUUUCCCUUUUCUCAUUUCUAUGUACUUAAGGUACAUAUGAUCAAUAUUAAUUUUAUUCUACAAUAUUAGUUUAAAUAUAUAUAUACUUGCUGUUAUUAUUAAUACGCACCCAAACAGCUUUAGACUAUGGGAACCUGCCAUUUAUUGAUAAUUGUUGUGGGACUAUGAUUAAUGUUUGUGUCUGCUUCUAGGAACGAGAUCAAAAAAGGAGCACAGAGAUAACCUGGAUAAUGCCAAAAGAGCUCACAGGUCUAAAAAUCAAAGACCAAUCCAGGUAGGAUUAAUGCAUUUCUAAGCCAAUACUAAGGACUUGAACCUAGUGUGAGACUCGGGGUUGCGACACUUGACAGACGUUAAGAUGUAGGCCUUCCUUGUAUCCACACUCUUCGUGAAAGUACCUACAGACAAGUACCUAAGGUUGGCUACCAUCCUGGUUCCAUCCAUCCCUGCGAACGAAGGUACAAUCAGACGAGGGAAUAACACUUCCCUAGAUAUAAAAUAAAAAAAUCUGGUCCUCUUUUUUCUCUCCUAUA